This 465-nucleotide ribosomal RNA is filed under the name Vreelandella stevensii. Its description in RNAcentral is "partial 16S ribosomal RNA". It matches the Rfam family "Bacterial small subunit ribosomal RNA", at positions 338 to 795 of the family's 1533-position model. The record is from RNAcentral. Lineage: Bacteria; Pseudomonadati; Pseudomonadota; Gammaproteobacteria; Oceanospirillales; Halomonadaceae.
CCUACGGGGGGCAGCAGUGGGGAAUAUUGGACAAUGGGGGGAACCCUGAUCCAGCCAUGCCGCGUGUGUGAAGAAGGCCCUCGGGUUGUAAAGCACUUUCAGUGAGGAAGAACGCCUGGUGGUUAAUACCCAUCAGGAAAGACAUCACUCACAGAAGAAGCACCGGCUAACUCCGUGCCAGCAGCCGCGGUAAUACGGAGGGUGCGAGCGUUAAUCGGAAUUACUGGGCGUAAAGCGCGCGUAGGUGGCUUGAUAAGCCGGUUGUGAAAGCCCCGGGCUCAACCUGGGAACGGCAUCCGGAACUGUCACGCUAGAGUGCAGGAGAGGAAGGUAGAAUUCCCGGUGUAGCGGUGAAAUGCGUAGAGAUCGGGAGGAAUACCAGUGGCGAAGGCGGCCUUCUGGACUGACACUGACACUGAGGUGCGAAAGCGUGGGUAGCAAACAGGAUUAGAUACCCGGGUAGUC